RNAcentral lists this ribosomal RNA (960 nucleotides) under Triticum aestivum (bread wheat). Its description in RNAcentral is "partial small subunit ribosomal RNA". Lineage: Eukaryota; Viridiplantae; Streptophyta; Magnoliopsida; Poales; Poaceae. The record is from RNAcentral.
AUGCCACUUUUAAUCCACUGCGGCCAGUCGGGCUUUAUCCGUGGCCGCGGCAUUGCAGACAAUUUCCUUCUCGCUGCGGAUAUCGUUCAAACUUGUCAUAAGCGAAAAAUCCCGGGUAUCGUUCUUAAAUUAGACUUAAAAAAAGCCUUUGACUCGGUUUCCUGGGAAGCCUUAUCUCUCAUUGUGCGCGCCAAAGGGCUCCCUUCUAUUUGGGAACGUUGGAUCCAUAAUCUUAAUUCCACUGGGAAUUCCGCAGUCCUCCUAAAUGGGAAGCCGGGGCCUUGGUUUCAGUGCCGGCGUGGCCUUCGCCAAGGGGAUUCGAUGUCUCCCUAUCUAUUCAUUAUUAUAGCCGAUGUCCUCCAACGCCUUAUUAUCAAAGCUUUCGAUUACGGCUUCCUGUCUCACCCUAUUGAUCACACGUUGCCUUGCCCGGUGCUUCAGUAUGCUGACGACACCCUGAUUGUCCUUCCGGCCGAGGCAUCUCAGCUUCUGCACCUUAAGAACCUGUUGUCGCAGUUCUCUGAGGCCACGGGCCUUUCGAUAAACUUCCACAAAAGUACGUUCGCCCCAAUCCAUGUUAGUCAGGAGGUUUCUGUAGGAUUGGCGGCAAUCCUGGGGUGCCCGGUGGCUUCCUUCCCUCAAUCUUACCUAGGUCUGCCCUUAUCUACGACUAAGCUUAAUCUCUCGGAUUUUUUCUUCAUCAUCGACAAGAUUUACCCGCGGCUGGCUGGGUGGCGGGGGCUGCUUCUCUCCUUCGCUGGUAGGGCCAUUUUGGUUAGGGCUACCUUACGCGCCCUUCCGAUUUAUGCUAUGAGUACGUUGUUGCUUCCAGUUGGAACUCUGCAGGAGAUUGACAAACAAUGUCGGGCGUUCUUCUGGUCUGGGUUAGAUAAGACUACGGGCGGUCAGUGCAAAGUGGCUUGGGAUCUCGUGUGCGCCCCUUUCUCCCAUGGGGGUUAA